GCCUGGGUGGCUCAGUCGGUUGAGCGUCCGACUUCAGCUCUGGUCAUGAUCUCCCAGUUCUUGGGUUCAAGCCCCAAGUCAGGCU
Molecule: transfer RNA, 85 nt
Filed under: Felis catus (domestic cat)
Lineage: Eukaryota; Metazoa; Chordata; Mammalia; Carnivora; Felidae
Rfam family: tRNA
About the family: Transfer RNA (tRNA) molecules are approximately 80 nucleotides in length. Their secondary structure includes four short double-helical elements and three loops (D, anti-codon, and T loops). Further hydrogen bonds mediate the characteristic L-shaped molecular structure. tRNAs have two regions of fundamental functional importance: the anti-codon, which is responsible for specific mRNA codon recognition, and the 3' end, to which the tRNAs corresponding amino acid is attached (by aminoacyl-tRNA synthetases). tRNAs cope with the degeneracy of the genetic code in two manners: having more than one tRNA (with a specific anti-codon) for a particular amino acid; and 'wobble' base-pairing, i.e. permitting non-standard base-pairing at the 3rd anti-codon position.
Source: Rfam by way of RNAcentral